RNAcentral lists this ribosomal RNA (449 nucleotides) under uncultured bacterium. RNAcentral's name for it is "bacterial SSU rRNA". It matches the Rfam family "Bacterial small subunit ribosomal RNA", at positions 355 to 796 of the family's 1533-position model. The record is from RNAcentral.
UCGAGGAUCUUUCGCAAUGGGCGCAAGCCUGACGAAGCGACGCUGUGUGAAUGAUGAAGGCCUUCGGGUUGUAAAGUUCUUUCGCCUGGGAACAAGAGAUGUAUGUGAAUAGCAUGCAAAUUUGAGGGUACUAGGUAAAGAAGCACCGGCUAACUCCGUGCCAGCAGCUGCGGUAAUACGGAGGGUGCAAGCAUUAAUCGGAAUUAUUGGGCGUAAAGGGCGCGUAGGCGGAACCAUAAGUUAGGUGUGAAAUACCGAAGCUCAACUUCGGUGCUGCACUUAAGACUGUGGAUCUAGAGGAUUGGCGGAGAAAAUGGAAUUCCACGAGUAGCGGUGAAAUGCGUAGAUAUGUGGAGGAACACCGGUGGCGAAAGCGGUUUUCUAGCUUAUUCCUGACGCUGAGGCGCGAGAGCAAGGGGAUCAAACAGGAUUAGAUACCCCCGUAGUCC